Long non-coding RNA from Ornithodoros turicata, 483 nucleotides. RefSeq lists it as uncharacterized. The transcript is spliced from 3 exons. The record is from RefSeq and is a predicted model, not a curated record. Lineage: Eukaryota; Metazoa; Arthropoda; Arachnida; Ixodida; Argasidae.
UCCACCUCCACCAACAGGGUGGAAAACAAAGAUCGCCAUUCCGAUUAGCUGCUAUCUCCCAGUUCAAGCACUUUUGUGUCUGGACACUGGUUCCUGUGGAUGGGGUGUUACAAGCUUUACUGUCUGAUAUAGAAGUGAUGAGCAUCCAUAAGGACACAUGCCAGAAAGGGAGUCUCUUUGGGAUGACAAACCCUCAUCACCUCAUGAGGAUACAAUGGUUGACGAAUGGUUCUCAAGCACAUCGAAACUUCCAACAAAUAAUUCAUGAAAAAGCCAGUCAGUGCUAGCACCAGGAAUUGAACGUGGGCCAUCCUGCUAGCAGUCAGAGAUGUUCAGUGGUGUAGCCACGAGGGGGCUAGGGGGUCUCGAGCCCCCCCUACCUGCCACGGACCGACCCACACAAAUCGUGCAAAUCCGAGAACAUAAUAUAUGGGGGGGGACCAGUGUGACUAUCGCGAAAGUUCUUGCAGUUCAUGGCGUCUA